CAAGUCCCUGCAGUGAAAGGAUUAGCGAUCCGCACUGGCCCCGAGUCAUGCGCGCAUAACCGCGAGGAUAUGCGCGAAGCAUUGACAGGGGUGCAUAUAGGCCAGCCAUUGAGCGGCGAAAAUGAGCAAAUUUGGGGAGCCCAUGCCCUCCUAAAAGCAGAAGGCAAUACAGACGAAGUGCGAUAACGCGAGCACAAGACUGUCCCCACGACGUCAGAGAACC
Chlorobium phaeobacteroides DSM 266 is the source of this 223-nucleotide non-coding RNA. Lineage: Bacteria; Pseudomonadati; Chlorobiota; Chlorobiia; Chlorobiales; Chlorobiaceae. The record is from Rfam.